RNAcentral lists this long non-coding RNA (16575 nucleotides) under Zea mays. RNAcentral describes it as "long non-coding RNA (ZMAY_LNC002296)". The record is from RNAcentral. Lineage: Eukaryota; Viridiplantae; Streptophyta; Magnoliopsida; Poales; Poaceae.
UGCAAUAAAACAGGAAACCUCAAAUUAAGUGUGGAGUUAUUACAUAAAUCGGAGUUUUUGCAUAGCAAAUAAAGUUCACAAAAUAAAGUGCAGCGGAUAAUUGAUGUCGUCGGUAUCGAGGAAUCGGGCAAGGCCUAGCCCACUACUCCUUGUGCUCCUCUCCUGCCGGAGCAACAUCCCACUCGACCGUCCAACCCGGUGGCAGGGUGGUAGGCCAAGUCACACCAUCAACCAUUUCCUGAAUGGUACCUGCAAAAAUUGUGCCACAAGCAAGGCUGAGUAUACUAAUACUCAGCUAGACUUAACCGGUGUGAGGAGUCUACUCCUCUACCUCUAGAUUAUGCAGCUGUUUGGCUGAGGGGUUUGGUUUGCCAAAAGCACUAGCUGUUUCUAAAAGCAAAUUUUAGCUUUUCCAAUUCUAUCAUCAUUAACUUAGCUAGAUUUGCUCCUUCUAAGCAUACAUGGUAACAAUCAAUUAGUUCAAUCAACAAGUUAUCUCAUGUAACCACAUUUCACUUCUUACUCGAUGCAGUACAAGGAAUCAAGCAGUCUCAUUAGCUGCGAGAAGCAGACGGUUCGAAUCGAGUUUUAACCUUGCAAGGUAAACCUAAACACACGGCAUGUCAGGGUACUCCGACCCCACACAUGACAACCGUCCCCAUCGAUUCCCCGUUCGUGUCCAGGCCUCACCGCCUUGGCAUACAAUGCUCCACUGACCCCGGCUGCCGCCGUGCAGUGACCGCACUUGUACCCACCAUAGCUAGCACGGGAGACCCAGUCUCAGGUCGCAUGAGGGAUAAAGUUCGCGCCCGGCUUCACUCAGGUACUAGGUUUACCGGUUACCAUUUUUCCCGGCAUGUGCUUAGUACGUUCAAAAGCUUGAAUCAGGUAUCCACACAUUAAUCCUUAAUUCAUUUUUCCCGUCUCAUGGAAAGGCAUCCUCCCUGGAUCCAAGUCCAUAGACUAACAUAUAUCCCAUUAUCAAGAUGAAUACAAUCAAUUCCUGACCUCGUGUGAGUGCUAGAAAAAUCACUCGACUUCUACCGAGAUCCUGAUUAGCAAGCAGCUACUCGACUUAGCAUACUAGUAUUCAUCUCAAAAGGAAUCCUAAGUUCAUGCAACUAGAGGUUUCAAGCAACUCCUACACUUAAGUGCACAUUACAAUCCUACAAGCAUUAAGUGUAGUAAAGUAGCAUAUAAUAACAUGGUUAUGCAUAAAACCGGGGCUUGCCUUCAAUUGCUGGGGCUGCGGGGAGAUCCUCAAUAGCAGCCUCUGAAGCCUGCUCCUGGUCCUCCUCUUGGACAGGUCCUUGCUCGGGGAUGAGCACGUACUCUCCGUCAGUAAGAUUACAAUCUAAUGAAUGCAAUGCGUAAGAUGUAUGUAUGAUAUGAUAUGUGCUUUUAGAAAUCCCAACUUUAAAGGUGCAUGAUCUUUCUUGAGUUAAACAAGGUUAACUUUACUUAUGUAAGACCCUUUAGUGGUAUACUUGGUAAAUUGGUUUAAACUUAGCUAAGGUAAGUAGAUUAAAUUUUUGGGGUUCCACUGAAUUCCUUUUAAGUCUUAGUGAGAAUUGAUAAGUACUCAAGAUAGACUUAUUGGGGUGGGUUUUAUUUCUGCUUUCCUUUUCUUUUAUUCUCUUUAAUGUUUUGGAGUAGGUUUGAACUACAAGUUGCUUUUAUAAAAUUCUAAAAAUUCUGCAAAAAUUACAGUGGCUUGUUACUGGUGUAUGUUUUUCUGUCUCAAAAUUUGGGGAUCAGAAAGUGUAUAGUUUUCUCUGGACAAAAUUAUUAAAUUCUAGGGCAGAAGGGGUGCUUUGAACUACAACUAUUAUUUAACAGUGGGCAAUUCUCCAAAACUUAUUUUUGCUGGCUUUUAGGUGUUAUAACAUGACUUGAUACAAAUUUCUAAUCAUUAAUACCUUUUAAUUAUUUUUUCUAUGGUUUUCUCAAGUUUCUAGCCAAAUGGGUGCUUUCUACUACCACUAUAUUUGAAAAACAUCAAACAACAGGGUGCUUAUUUUUCUUAGUUAUUGUUUUGUGCAAGAGCAAUCAUUUUGAAGUUUGGCCUCUUUUUGCUUAAGGGAAGGGGUGGUAUGUAUUAUUUGAAUUAAGUGGCCUUUCUCUUAAAUCAUUAGCAAUUGGUAUGAGUUUGCUUCCUUUUCAUGGGUUGGCAUUUUUCUCUGGUAGUUUAUCCCAUCAUGGACUUAGCAAAUUUUUGGUUUCCCAUUAUCACAUUAAUAGGGGUUGUUCAUGAUUUAUUUGAAAAAUGCCUUAUUAUCACUUUGUAUUUAUUUUCCUUACUUAAAAAGUUGGGCUGGGGUGCUCUGUAUUUUUGUAGUGGGGCUCUAAUGGUUGUAAGUCCACUGGAUUUUUAUUAAUCAUUUUGGUUAUAGUUUUGCUACUCUAAUAAUUGAUUCUCAGUCCAAAUAAGGCUAAAUAAAUCAUUUUAAUUUAAAACUGGUCCAAAUUAAUGGUCUCUGUAUUUUUCCUAGGUUCUCUGUUACAUAAAUAAACUAGGAAAAAUAAUCUUAAUCAUUGUUCAUUAAUUUCUAAUGCCUUUCUGAUUUUCUCUAAGUUUUGAACAAAAUAGCUUUAAAUGAAUAACUACAUCAUAAUUUCUAAUGCUGGGGUUCCUACUAUUUUUAAACAGUGUCUAAAUGAGGUUUGAACAUCUACAAAUUUUCUUAAGUUCAGCACAGAAGAAAAACUAAUUUUCCUUAAUUAAGCAAGGUUUGGUGGGUUUCUGUUUUUAAUUAAAAACUCUAAAAAUUAGAACAGAAAGCAUAGGGUUUAUUAUUUUUAAAUGAUGGUUCAUAAUAUUCAGGAGCUAGCAAAAUUGGUUUGACAACUUUUGAUUAAGAAUUCAUCAAGUUAUGGAUUUUCUAUGUUCUCUGGUCAUUUUAAAAAGAUUAACAUAAUUGAUUAAAUGGAAAUCCACUUUGCACUGGGGUCCCUGGCGGGUUUUCUAAGUUUUCCUCGCGAAUCAGUCCUUAAGCUACUAUUCACAUGAGUCACUGACGUUUCAGAAAACCCCUCGGAAUCUACAAAUCCUAACCUGAGGUCCUUCUUCUACCUUAAACAGUAACCGCGGCGGAAGAAUGGGCGGAGGGGCUUACCGGCGGCGAGGUUGCUCCGGUGAAGUGGUCGAGGACGUAGGGGAGGUCUCGGGGAUCACAACGGUGUGUGGGUCGCCGUCGGAGAUGGCCGGAGUCGGUCGGUCCACGCGCGCAGGCGAGGAUGCUCGUCGGCGGCGAGGAGUCCGGCCUGGUCACGGCGAGAUAGAGCAAUUGGAUGGGUCAGAGAGGUUCCCGGGGUGCCAGAGAAGACAUGAGCGCAAGGAAUUGGGCGGAGACUCACUGGAUAGCUCGGUCCACGCGCGGCGGCGGAAGACCGAAGUCCGGUGAGGUCGAUCUCGGGCCUCCGGUGAAGUCCGGCCGGGUCCGAGGGCUUGGCAAGCUUCACGGGCUACUGGCGGAGCUAGCCGAAGCACUGGCUUGCCCAGAGGAUGGCUAGAGUGGGCUGGCCACGAUGGCCGAAGCUCUGGCGGCAAUGGCGGGCGGAAUUGAGCUCGCCGGAGCUAAGGGAAAGUGGCUGGCCGGUGAGGGUGAGUGCGGGGCGAAGUGGGGCGCGCCUGUGAAGGCUUUAUAGGCACGGCGCGGUGCACGGGCGGUCGUGGACCGGCGAGUGCGCGCGGGCGUGCACUGGGAGGCGCGGUGCGCGAACGGGCGUGAACCGGGGGUGCCAGCCACGGUCGAACACGUGUUCCCGUUGCCUCUGCCCCUGUUCAAGCGCCGAUUGGGAGCAAAUCUUCGCGAAUUUGGGCAAGAUCGCUGUGAAGGAUUUGUUCACCUGACCAAGCUUUGUCUUUUGUGUAUGGACGUCGCGCGGUUUUAGGCUAGGGACAUGGAGUUGUAGCGUCACCAAGGUGCUAGUGUCAGAAUGCCUGGUCCCGAGGUCAAACUUCACAGUUACUUCAUUCUGAAUUAAGAUCAUAUUUUUGGAAAUUAGAUUCGAAGGGCAGGAGGAGGGGUUGGGGGUGAUUACGUACCAGCUUCCUUAGGUAGGCAAUCGGGGAAGUUGGAUCUCAAGAAUUCCUCGGUUUCCCAAGUAGCUUCCUCCUCUGAGUGAUUACUCCACUGGACCUUGUACAUCUUGAUCGAUUUAGCCCGAGUUGAUCUUUCUUUGCAAUCCAGAAUCUUGGAGGGGUACUCUUGGUACGAUAGAUCUGGCUCUAUUUCCAAUUCUGGCUCUGUUAUGAUCUCGGUCGGCAAUCGAACACACUUCUUCAGCUGAGAUACAUGGAAAACACUGUGAAUGGCAGACAUCUUUGAAGGUAACUUCAGCUUGUAUGCCACGGGUCCACAUGCUUCUAUGAUCUCAUAAGGUCCAAUGUAACGAGGGGCUAGCUUGCCUUUGAUCCCAAACCUCUGCACUCCCUUGGUGGGUGAUACCUUGAGGUAUACAAAACUUCCCACCUCGAACUGGAGAGGUUUCCUUCUUUUAUCAUGAUAGCUCUUUUGCCUGGCCUGAGCAGCUUCUAGAUUCUUCCUGAUUAACUUGACCUUCCUUUCGGCUUCAGUCACUAAAUCAGGUCCAAAAACUUCUCUUUCACCAGGUUGAGACCAAUUGAGUGGUGUCCUACACCUUCUUCCAUAGAGAGCUUCAAAAGGUGCCAUCUUUAGGCUGGAUUGAUAACUAUUGUUAUAAGCAAACUCUGCCAAGGAGAGGUGCUUAUUCCAGUUCUUGCCACAAUCGAUCGCACAAGCUCUCAGCAUAUCCUCCAGGAUUUGGUUUACCCUUUCCGUCUGACCAUCAGUCUGUGGGUGGUAAGCUGAACUCCUGAUUAGCUUGGUUCCCAAAGACUCUUGCAAUUGUUCCCAAAAUCUGGCAACAAAUUGGGCUCCUCGGUCAGAAACAAUGGUCCGAGGUAAUCCGUGCAAACACACGAUCCGGUCAAUAUACAAUUCUGCAUAUUUCUGAGCCUUAUCAGUGGUGUGCACAGGAAGAAAAUGUGCUACUUUCGUCAAUCGGUCCACAAUAACCCAAAUUGAAUCAUCAUGACGAGAGGUGCUGGGCAGACCCACAAUGAAAUCCAUGCUGAUGUCAUCCCACUUCCACGAAGGUACGGACAGUGGAUGCAAAGCUCCAGCUGACUUCAAGUGGCUUGCCUUUAUCCUCUGACAGGUGUCACAUUCUGAUACAUACUGGGCUAUCUCCCUCUUCAUUCUGGUCCACCAGUACAAAAGCUUCAAAUCAUGGUACAUCUUGGUGCUUCCCGGAUGCAUAGAGAAUUUGGAGAGAUGAGCCUCAUCCAAAAUUUUCCUCUUGAGGUCCUGGUCUUUAGGAAUCACCAAUCUGCUUUUGAACCAUAACACACCCUUUUCAUCUUAGCGGAAACAAUUAUACUUCUCAACCUUCUGAUGGAGAUUCUUCUUGAUAAUCUGCACUCCCUUGUCACUGAGCUGGGCCAUGAUAAUCUGGUCUUGCAAAGCUGGCUCAACAGAAAUGUGAGACAAAGAACCAGAAGGAAUCACUUCAAUUUGCAUCUUGCUCAACUCAUCACACAAGGUGUUAAUGCGAGAAUCCAUCAGAACACAAUUGCAUUGCAACUUCCGACUCAAGGCAUCUGCUACCACAUUAGCUUUUCCGGGGUGAUAUUGUACCUCUAGGUCAUAAUCCUUGAUCAGCUCUAGCCAUCUUCUCUGCCUCAUGUUGAGAUCAGCCUGAGUAAAAAUGUACUUAAGGCUCUUAUGAUCAGUGAAGAUGUUGCAGUGGGUUCCCAUUAGAUAGUGCCUCCACAUCUUCAAUGCAUGAACCACUGCUGCUAGCUCGAGGUCAUGAGUGGGAUAGUUUUGCUCAUGAGGACUGAGUGCUCUUGAGGCAUAAGCAAUGACUCGGUUGUCUUGCAUCAAGACACAACCUAGCCCGGUGCCCGAGGCAUCGCAAUACACAUCAAAAGGCUUGCUGCUGUCGGGUUGCGCCAAUACUGGUGCUGUGGUCAGAUGCUGCCUUAAUGCAUGGAAGGCAUCUUCGCACUUCUGACUCCAAACAAAUUUGACUUCUUUCUUCAACAACUCAGUAAUAGGCUUCGCAAUUCGAGAGAAGUCCGGAAUAAAUCUUCGGUAAUAACCAGCUAAUCCCAGAAAACUCCGAAUCUGGCGAACAGUUGUGGGUGGCCUCCAGUUCAUCACCUCUUGCACUUUAUCAGGAUCAACAGCUAUUCCAGCCUGAGAGAUAGUGUGACCCAAGAAUUUGAUUUCCUUUAGCCAAAAAUCACAUUUGGAUAACUUGGCAUAAAGGUGGUGCUCUCGCAGACGUUGAAGCACUACAUGCAAAUGCCCGGCAUGUUCUUCUUCGUUCUUUGAGUACACCAGAAUAUCAUCGAUGAAAACCACCAUGAACUUGUCCAAUUCCAGCAUAAAAACAGAAUUCAUCAGAUACAUGAAAUAUGCUGGUGCAUUUGUCAGCCCGAAUGACAUCACCAAAAAUUCAUAUAGCCCAUAUCUGGUUGAGAAUGCCGUCUUCGGAAUAUCACUUGCUCGUAUCUUGAUCUGAUGGUAGCCAGAGCGAAGGUCUAUCUUGGAAAACACCUUGGCCCCGACCAACUGGUCAAAAAGAACAUCAAUACGAGGCAAAGGAUACUUGUUCUUGAUAGUUACCGCAUUGAGAGGGUGGUAAUCUAUACACAGCCUCAAGCUUUCAUCCUUCUUCUUCACAAACAGUGUUGGACAUCCCCAAGGCGAAGUGCUGGGGCAAAUAAAACCCUUAUCCAGCAACUCUUGCAAUUGCUUCUUCAACUCUGCCAACUCAGCGGGUGGCAUUCGGUAGGGCCUCUUGGAAAUUGGGGUCGUUCCCGGUUGCAACUCGAUGGCGAAUUCAAUAUCCCGGUCCGGUGGCAUUCCUGGCAAUUCAUCAGGAAAGACAUCUACAUACUCACAGACCACUGGGAUCUUCUUCAGGGGUAGCUCUGUCAUAGAGAAAGCACAUGACUGAGAAGAACCCUGACUAGGCAGAAUUAAAGUGAAACUCCCGCAGAAUGGAGAAUUAACUUCCACGGCACGGCUGGCUACAUCAAGCACAACUUGGUGCAAGGUCAUCCAAUUUGCUCCUAGAAUAAUGUCCACAUUUUCCAAUCCCAACACAAGAAGAGUGGUUUUGACAAUGUGGCUUCCCAGUUGAAUAGGCACACUUUGGUUUAAUUGAUUAGUUGAAAUUUUACCCCCAGGUGUGACUAUCAUGAAUGACCCUUUUGAGUGAGAGAAUGGCAGUUUGCAUUUAGCGCUGAACUUUUGGCUAAUGAAACUAUGAGAUGCACCAGAAUCAAACAGAAUUAAAGCAGGUUGAUUAUAAACUAAAAAGGUACUGGUCAUGAUAGGAGCUCCUUCAGGUACUUCCUCCAGAGUAGUGAAGUUGAGCUUCCCUUGCCUGACUUGCACCUUCUGCUUUCUUCCCUUGUCUUGAUUUGGUGCUGGCAUCUGCCUCUGCUGGUUCCUGGGACAAUUCUUGGCAUAGUGGCCCACAUUGCCACAAGUGAAACACUUGUUCCCAUUGCCCUGGCGGAACUGCUGCUGCUGCGGAGGCUGAUUGUUCCUUGGGGCGGGAGCUGGAAAGCGGUUGGGUGUCGGCUGCUGCUGCUGCUGGGGUGGCCUGAUCACCCAUCUGCCUGCCUGCUGCUGAAAACCCCUGCUCUGAUUGUGAGAAACAAUCCGGAACCUCUGAGCCUGAGCGGAUGGUGCUGCCAUUGGUGCCUUCCUCUUCUUCUCUGCCCGGUGAGCAACAAUGCAAUCCUCCUGGGAGAUGGCCAUGUUGACCAACUCAUUGAAGCUAUCAGCCCGGACAGUGUUGAGUCGUUCCCGCAGCUUGGUAUUGAGACCCCUGCGGAAGCGAUCCCUCUUCUUCUCAUCAGAAUCAGCAUGAUACCCUGCAUACUGGCAUAAGUCGUUGAAGGCUUGCACAUACUGCAGUACCGUGCGGGUUCCUUGAUUAAGGGCCAGAAAUUCAUUCAACUUCCGAUCAAGAAUGCCAGCUGGGAUGUGGUGUCCUCUGAAGGCAGUCUUGAAUUCCUCCCAAGAUACUUCACGGUCAGCGGGGAGCAUAGCACGGAAGUGGUCCCACCAAGUCCGAGCAGGGCCGCGAAGCUGUUGUGCGGCGAAGCGAGCCUUGGCUUCAUCAGGGCAGUCUCCCGUGAGGAGGGGAAACUUGGACUCGACGACACGAAGCCACACAUCGGCGUCCAACGGAUCCUCUGCUUUGGUGAACAAGGGCGGCUGCGUGCUCAGAAACUCCUGGUUAGUUGCCAUAGCCGGAGGUCGCUGAUGCUGGCCUCCACCAUGCUGCUGAGGGUGGGGCUGGCGCUGCAAGAGCUGUCGCAGAAUCUCAUUUUGCUGGGCCAUCAGCUCCUGCACUGUGGGAGCUGGAGGAGGUGGCUGGGGAACCUGCUCGUUCUGCCCGCGACGCUGCCUAGCUGCCAUCUGAAAACAAAGAUUGUCGCCAUUGUUAUCCAAACUCACAGUUUCAAACGACAAGAUAUAAUCUCAUAUGGAAGGAAAAAUGCCAUAAUCAUAAUAUUAGGUUCGAAAGGAAGAUAACAUGGUGACAAAGAUCCCACAGAUUUCAAAAGUUUACAGGGUUACAUCAAUCAGGGGAAAGUACCCAUAAGCCUAGUCCAAAAUCUGACAUUAACUAAGCUCGCAUAGGUUUCUAUCCGCCUAAAAGUGUCGAAGCGACUGCUUAACCCUGAGCGGUGGAAGCGACACUGGAUACGGGUGAAGGAGGCUUCGCGGAGGUAGUCCCAUUGGCACCAGGGGCUGGUCCUAGCUCCUCGGGAGCCUCUUCUCCCUCGCUUCCUGCUUCAUUGGCCUCCAUUUCCAGGUGGUGCAUGUCCAAGUGGUCAUUUGCUUCUUCGAGUUCCCUCUGCACAUCGUGAAGCUGGUUCUCCAAGACAUCAAUAGUGUUGUCUCGGAUCUCCACCUGCUGCUCCAGGGUGGCAAUGCGCUGGCUCAGCCUCUCCACCUGCAGAUCCUUCUCCACCAACUCCGUGGAUAGGUCGACCACAAAAUCUUCCCGACUAUCGAGAGUGAGCUUGGCAGUCUGAGCGGUGUUAGCAAGAAGUGUCAUAGUAUCGCUCUGAAGGGCCUGAAGGCGGUACAGCGCACUCAUGCACUGAACAGUGACCCUCCCAACCAAGUCAGGAUACAUCGCCCACACAUCCUUUACAUGGCUCACGCGGUUACACCACAUGGGAUCAUCCUUCUUCUCAGCAGGGAAGAGUCCCAAGGGGUGCAUCACCAUCUCCAGGGGAUGGUAGCCACAGAAAGUCGUCAGAGUCUUCAUGGCUGCUGCCUCAACGGUGUCGUCCGUCCUGAGUCCAAUCGUCUCAGAGUCAAGAGAACGCCAACCCGGCUGAAGGGGAUGAGCCUCCAAAGUCAGCCAGACCCGACAACGAGGUACCCGAUGCUCCUCAUACAACUGCACCGUGUACAAAGGGGGCGUAGGGUAACCGGCGAAGUUAAGCACUUCCCACAAGAUGGAAGGAAAGCCAUCGCGAGAAAGGAAGUCAGAACUGAAACGAGAGUCUCCUCCACUGGCGGGGGUGGGUGAAUUCAUCUACGGAAGGGAAUCAAAGGUAAAGAUUAUGGUGGAAGGAAAAAGAAAAAGAGAGCCCGGAUGGUUUUAAAGAAAGUGGGUUAGCUCAAAAUUUUAAUUCCUCUUUACGUUUUAAAAUGCAUGCAUGCUGGAAGAAACGUUGCCUCUCAAAAAGAAAAUAGGGUGUUUUUUAGGGCAUCCUUAAAAUAUAAGUACUGGCCCACGGGGCCUAAUUAGUUAGCCACCUAUUUCUCCCUCUAUGCCUAAGGCCUUUCGUCCUAGGUCUAGCGGUCUAGUCCUGACGAUCCAUAGCAGUUUCUAGGCAAGUUUUAAAUUUUGAAAAUUGGCAUUCAUGGUUUAUUGUCCUUCUCUGUGGUGGAAUUUGCUCUGAUACCAGCUGUGGCAGAACCACCCGAAUUAUUCCAGCUUAAGUGCCUAAGUCACGCCUCAGGGGGCCGUAACACACUUAAAUCGGAAUAACCCGUCAGUCCUUCAGAUCUAGUCUGAUAGAGCCACUUAACCAGGAUCAAAUUCCACAAUCUCACUCGAAGGUGAGUCACAGAAGAAAUACAAUAAAACAGGAAACCUCAAAUUAAGUGUGGAGUUAUUACAUAAAUCGGAGUUUUUGUGUAGCAAAUAAAGUUCACAAAAUAAAGUGCAGCGGAUAAUUGAUGUCGUCGGUAUCGAGGAAUCGGGCAAGGCCUAGCCCACUACUCCUCGUGCUCCUCUCCUGCCGGAGCAACAUCCCACUCGACCGUCCAACCCGGUGGCAGGGUGGUAGGCCAAGUCACACCAUCAACCAUUUCCUAAAUGGUACCUGCAAAAAUUGUGCCACAAGCAAGGCUGAGUAUACUAAUACUCAGCUAGACUUAACCGGUGUGAGGAGUCUACUCCUCUACCUCUAGACUAUGCAGCUGUUUGGCUGAGGGGUUUGGUUUGCCAAAAGCACUAGCUGUUUCUAAAAGCAAAUUUUAGCUUUUCCAAUUCUAUCAUCAUUAACUUAGCUAGAUUUGCUCCUUCUAAGCAUACAUGGUAACAAUCAAUUAGUUCAAUCAACAAGUUAUCUCAUGUAACCACAUUUCACUUCUUACUCGAUGCAGAACAAGGAAUCAAGCAGUCUCAUUAGCUGCGAGAAGCAGACGAUUCGAAUUGAGUUUUAACCUUGCAAGGUAAACCUAAACACACGGCAUGUCAGGGUACUCCGACCCCACACAUGACAACCGUCCCCAUCGAUUCCCCGUUCGCGUCCCGGCCUCACCGCCUUGGCAUACAAUGCUCCACUGACCCCGGCUGCCGCCGUGCAGUGACCGCACUUGUACCCACCAUAGCUAGCAUGGGGGACCCAGUCUCAGGUCGCAUGAGGGAUAAAGUCCGCGCCCGGCUUCACUCAGGUACUAGGUUUACCGGUUACCAUUUUUCCUGGCAUGUGCUUAGUACGUUCAAAAGCUUGACUCAGGUAUCCACACAUUAAUCCUUAAUUCAUUUUUCCCGUCUCAUGGAAAGGCAUCCUCCCUGUAUCCAAGUCCAUAGACUAACAUAUAUCCCAUUAUCAAGAUGAAUACAAUCAAUUCCUGACCUCACGCGAGUGCUAGAAAAAUCACUCGACUUCUACCGAGAUCCUGAUUAGCAAGCAGCUACUCGACUUAGCAUACUAGUAUUCAUCUCAAAAGGAAUCCUAAGUUCAUGCAACUAGAGGUUUCAAGCAACUCCUACACUUAAGUGCACAUUACAAUCCUACAAGCAUUAAGUGUAGUAAAGUAGCAUAUAAUAACAUGGUUAUGCAUAAAACCGGGGCUUGCCUUCAAUUGCUGGGGCUGCGGGGAGAUCCUCAAUAGCAGCCUCUGAAGCCUGCUCCUGGUCCUCCUCUUGGACAGGUCCUUGCUCGGGGAUGAGCACGUACUCUCCGUCGGCAAGAUUACAAUCUAAUGAAUGCAAUGCGUAAGAUGUAUGUAUGAUAUGAUAUGUGCUUUUAGAAAUCCAACUUUAAAGGUGCAUGAUCUUUCUUGAGUUAAACAAGGUUAACUUUACUUAUGUAAGACCCUUUAGUGGUAUACUUGGUAAAUUGGUUUAAACUUAGCUAAGGUAAGUAGAUUAAAUUUUUGGGGUUCCACUGAAUUCCUUUUAAGUCUUAGUGAGAAUUUAUAAGUACUCAAGUUAGACUUAUUGGGGUGGGGUUUAUUUCUUCUUUCCUUUUCUUUUAUUCUCUUUAAUGUUUUGGAGUAGGUUUAAACUACAAGUUGCUUUUAUAAAAUUCUAAAAAUUCUGCAAAAAUUACAGUGGCUUGUUACUGGUGUAUGUUUCUCUGUCUCAAAAUUUGGGGAUCAGAAAUUGUAUAGUUUUCUCUGGACAAAAUUAUUAAAUUCUAGGGCAGAAGGGGUGCUUUGAACUACAACUAUUAUUUAACAGUGGGAAAUUCUCCAAAACUUAUUUUUGCUGGCUUUUAAGUGUUAUAACAUGACUUGAUACAAAUUUCUAAUCAUUAAUACCUUUUAAUUAUUUUUCUAUGGUUUUCUCAAGUUUCUAGCCAAAUGGGUGCUUUCUACUACCACUAUAUUUGAAAAACAUCAAACAACAGGGUGCUUAUUUUUCUUAGUUAUUGUUUUGUGCAAGAGCAAUCAUUCUGAAGUUUGGCCUCUUUUUGCUUAAGGGAAGGGGUGGUAUGUAUUAUUUGAAUUAAGUGGCCUUUCUCUUAAAUCAUUAGCAAUUGGUAUGAGUUUGCUUCCUUUUCAUGGGUUGGCAUUUUUCUCUGGUAGUUAUCCCAUCAUGGACUUAGCAAAUUUUUGGUUGCCCAUUAUCACAUUAAUAGGGGUUGUUCAUGAUUUAUUUGGAAAAUGCCUUAUUAUCACUUUGUAUUUAUUUUCCUUACUUAAAAAGUUGGGCUGGGGUGCUCUGUAUUUUUGUAGUGGGGCUCUGGUGGUUGUAAGUCCACUAGAUUUUUAUUAAUCAUUUUGGUUAUAGUUUUGCUACUCUAAUAAUUGAUUCUCAGUCCAAAUAAGGCUAAAUAAAUCAUUUUAAUUUAAAACUGGUCCAAAUUAAUGGUCUCUGUAUUUUUCCUAGGUUCUCUGUUACAUAAGUAAACUAGGAAAAAUAAUCUUAAUCACUGUUCAUUAAUUUCUAAUGCCUUUCUGAUUUUCUCUAAAUUUUGGACAAAAUAGCUUUAAAUGAAUAACUACAUCAUAAUUUCUAAUGCUGGGGUUCCUACUAUUUUUAAACAGUGUCUAAAUGAGGUUUGAACAUCUACAAAUUUUCUUAAGUUCAGCACAGAAGAAAAACUAAUUUUCCUUAAUUAAGCAAGGUUUGGUGGGUUUCUGUUUUUAAUUAAAAACUCUAAAAAUUAGAACAGAAAGCAUAGGGUUUAUUAUUUUUAAAUGAUGGUUCAUAAUAUUCAGAAGCUAGCAAAAUUGGUUUGACAACUUUUGAUUAAGAAUUCAUCAAGUUAUAGAUUUUCUAAGUUCUCUGGUCAUUUUAAAAAGAUUAACAGAAUUGAUUAAAUGGAAAUCCACUUUUCACUGGGGUCCCUGGCGGGUUUUCUAAGUUUUCCUCGCGAAUCAGUCCUUAAGCUACUAUUCACAUGAGUCACUGACGUUUCAGAAAACCCCUCGGGUUCUACAAAUCCUAACUCGAGGUCCUUCUUCUACCUUAAACCGUAACCGCGGCAGAAGAAAGGGCGGAGGGGCUUACCGGCGGCGAGGUUGCUCCGGUGAAGUGGUCGAGGACGUAGGGGAGGUCUCGGGGAUCACAACGGUGUGCGGGUCGCCGUCGGAGAUGGCCGGAGUCGGUCGGUCCACGCGCGCAGGCGGGGAUGCUCGUCGGCGGCGAGGAGUCCGGCCUGGUCACGGCGAGAUAGAGCAAUUGGAUAGGUCAGAGAGGUUCCCGGGGUGCCAGAGAAGACAUGAGCGCAAGGAAUUGGGCGGAGACUCACUGGAUAGCUCGGUCCACACGCGGCGGCGGAAGACCAAAGUCCGGUGAGGUCGAUCUCGGGCCUCCGGUGAAGUCCGGCCGGGUCCGAGGGCUUGGCAAGCUUCACGGGCUACUGGCGGAGCUAGCCGAAGCACUGGCUUGCCCAGAGGAUGGCUGGAGUGGGAUGGCCACGAUGGCCGAAGCUCUAGCGGCAAUGGCGGGCGGAAUUGAGCUCGCCGGAGCUAAGGGAAAGUGGCUGGCCGGUGAGGGUGAGUGCGGGGCAAAGUGGGGCGCGCCUGGGAAGGCUUUAUAGGCACGGCGCGGUGCACGGGCGGUCGUGGACCGGCGAGUGCGCGCAGGCGUGCACUGGGAGGCGCGGUGCGCGAACGGGCGUGAACCGGGGGUGUCAGCCACGGUCGAACACGUGUUCCCGUUGCCUCUGCCCCUGUUCAAGCGCCGAUUGGGAGCAAAUCUUCGUGAAUUUGGGCAAGAUUGCUGUGAAGGAUUUGUUCACCUGACCAAGCUUUGUCUUUUGUGUAUGGACGUCGCGCGGUUUUAGGCUAGGGACAGGGAGUUGUAGCGUCACCAAGGUGCCAGUGUCAGAAUGCCUGGUCCCGAGGUCAAACUGCGCCAAAACCGUGUCAAAUGAAUUUGGUUUGAGUUCAAACUUUUCCAGGACGUGUUCAAGGGAAUUUGGCACAACUUUGAUAUUUGGAUCUCCUGGUUUUGAGUUUUGAAAAACAGAGAACGCAGAUGAUCUUUGGGAAGAGGUCUGAAAUUCAGAAAUUUGAAUUUCUCCAAGGGUUCAUAGUUCAAGGGCUGAUUUGGGGAUUUAUUUGAGUUAUUUUGGCUAAGCUUUCUCAAUCUUUCUUGUUGCUCAUUAAAUAUACUUUAAUUUUUAUAAUUGGCUCAAGUCAUAAUUUUAAACUUUUCAUUCCCUUUUUCUUAUUCUCUUGCAUUUUGCUUAUAGGGCUCACUUAGGGUUUUUAUUAGGGUUGCACAUUCCUAUCUUUUUAAAAGACUCAAUUGUUUUGAUCAUGAUACUUUUAAGUAUAUACUUGGUGAAUUCUUUAUUUCUUAAGUUAAUUUGAUGCUCAUGCUUACUUUGGUUCACAUGAAAUAAUGGUUCUUGGGUUGGUACUUGAGAGAAACCCUAGGUGACACUGGGGUGUCACACAUCUUUACCCACAAGUCAUGUUACACAUCUGCCAAGGGAUCACGACUUCCCAUACACCUCUACCAAGGAGGCGAGGCAGGGUAACACUACGAGGCCUUUUCAAAGUUCCACUAGCUUUAGAAAACCCAUACAGUUUCUAGGAAGCUCCAAUGCAGGGACCCCUCGCCUGACCGCCAUCGCAAUAAAAUCAACCCAAGGGCCUCCCUACACUGACCAAUCCCCUACUGCCCUUGCCCCUUUUGGGUAAGGUAGUCCUCCACUAGCUUUUCUAAUUAGUCAGCCAAGGUCGUUCCAUACCACCCUUGUGGUAGCACUAUUUUUCCGGGUGGUUCUCCAUGUUCCAAUUAACAUAAUGAUCUUACCAUAAACAGUAAAUAACAAACUAAUAAUAAAAGUGUGAUCAUGAAUAAUGUAUAUCUCCACACCCAAAACCACACAAAGUAAUAGCGGGUACUACCUAAAAAUUAAGUGGUAAACAAGGUAUAAAGAUAGUCAGACUAGGGUAACCUAUUGGGUCUCAUCAAAAUUAACCUAUGCAUUUUGUUAUGAUUAAUAAGAACAUGAUUGGGUAAAAAGAAGUGAUCAAGGGCACAACUUGCCUGGGACUUGAGAUUCCAGGUACCAACUUGCUCUUCAGGUGACUCGUAACCUCGCUGCUAGUCGUUGCAAUAUAGACAAACAUGGUAUAGGCAAAAUUAACAUCACACCAAACAUAAGUACAAACUGCAUAAUAAUGAUCUACGUGAUGCUACGAGAUCGUGGGAACGAGAAUCACUAAAUUCGGAUUUAUGGUUUAAGAGUUAUGAUUUUCUGAAGAUUUAAGUGUUUAAUAUAGAAUAAACUAAGUGUAUAAUUUUAAUCUAUGUUUCAUGACAAAAUAAGAUUACCAGAUGAUAAAUAAUAUUAUUAUGAAUGUAAUGCAACUAGAACGGAUCAAAAGGAGCUAGAAUGAAUUAAAUAUGAAUUAAACAAGUUUCGGGAAUUAUUUUUAUACUAAAAAUCAUUUUCUGAUUUAAUUAUGAAAAUUCCUAAUAAUUUUGGACUGUGGACAAAAUUUCCAGAGAGGUCAGGGUCGUUUUCGUUAAUUUCAAGGCCUCCCUGCAAUGAUUUUAAUAUUAACCUGGACGACGGGUUGAUUUAACUAUCUUUGGGGGUCUCUUUAGCAAAAGACCAUGGCUGAAAGGGUAUCGUGCGCUCAGAGCCGUUCGAUUAAAAGAUGACGGCGCAGAUGAGAUCAUGACUUAAAAUGAACCGGUACAAACUGUGGCCGUUAGAUCUAAAUCCUAGGUCCAGAUUCUAUGAAGCCCCAAUCCCAUCACAUCCGUCCGAUUAGAUCCGGUUGGCACAGAUUGAAACCCCGAAAAGGUAUAGCUUGACCUAAUCACAGCCGACGGUAUUUGAUCAGACGGCCAGGAGCCACACCCUCCUUCAAACCAGUCAGACGCGGCAGCGCCGCCUUCUUCUACGGCGAAGCCAUCGCCGGUGGUCAGCACAUUGGCUAACCCACGCACAACCUCGAAUACUGAACGGUCCUACAUGAAGUAUAGCAUAUGGCAAUUCUAGUGGCGUGUUGUUUACCUGAUGGGGUGGUGGCAGAUUGGCUAGCCAUGGCGUACGACGGCCACAAGGUACCGUAUGACGACGAUGAGGAAUUCCCCCUCACCCGGUUACCUCCACGCCCGGUGAGGCUUAUCACAAGACUCCACGAGUCACGACGAACUACUGCAGCCACACUUCAAGGGUCGGGCGGCAAUAGAAGGCAACCUUGACCGUGGCGGCUUGGAUCCCCCGCAAUAAUGGCGGCGAGGCCCCGGGUUCACGGUGAGGGUUCCGAUAGGGGAAGGGAGGUCGCAGGUGUGCGUUUUUUAACCCGGAGGCGCUGGCGGAUAAGCAGGCUUGGAACGAAAAAGGUG